Molecule: ribosomal RNA, 500 nt
Filed under: uncultured bacterium
Lineage: Bacteria
Description: partial 16S ribosomal RNA
Rfam family: Bacterial small subunit ribosomal RNA
Source: RNAcentral
AUUGAACGCUGGCGGCAUGCCUUACACAUGCAAGUCGAACGGCAGCACGGGAGCAAUCCUGGUGGCGAGUGGCGAACGGGUGAGUAAUAUAUCGGAACGUGCCCAGUCGUGGGGGAUAACGCAGCGAAAGCUGUGCUAUUACCGCAUACGAUCUACGGAUGAAAGCGGGGGAUCGCAAGACCUCGCGCGAUUGGAGCGGCCGAUAUAAGAUUAGCUAGUUGGUGAGGUAAAGGCUCACCAAGGCGACGAUCUGUAGCUGGUCUGAGAGGACGACCAGCCACACUGGAACUGAGAAACGGUCCAGAAUCCUACGGGAGGCAGCAGUGGGGAAUUUUGGACAAUGGGCGAAAGCCUGAUCCAGCAAGGCCGCGUGCAGGAUGAAGGCCUUCGGGUUGUAAACUGCUUUUGUACGGAACGAAACGGUGAGCUCUAAUAAAGUUUGCUAAUGACGGUACCGUAAGAAUAAGCACCGGCUAACUACGUGCCAGCCGCCGCCGUAA